This 378-nucleotide ribosomal RNA is filed under the name uncultured eukaryote. Its description in RNAcentral is "partial 18S ribosomal RNA". It matches the Rfam family "Eukaryotic small subunit ribosomal RNA", at positions 592 to 976 of the family's 1831-position model. The record is from RNAcentral.
CAAUAGCGUAUAUUUAAGUUGUUGCAGUUAAAAAGCUCGUAGUUGGAUUUCGGGUGGGACGCAGCGGUCUCGCAUUGCGUUUGUACUGCUGCAGCCCUCCUUCUUGCCGGGGGCGGCCUCUCGGACUUCACUGUCUGGGGGUCAGAAUCGGCGAUGUUACUUUGAGUAAAUUAGAGUGUUCAAAGCAAGCUUACGCUCUGAAUAUAAUAGCAUGGGAUAACACGACAGGACUCUGGCCUAUCGUGUUGGUCUGUAGGACCGGAGUAAUGAUUAAGAGGAACAGUCGGGGGCAUUCGUAUUCCAUUGUCAGAGGUGAAAUUCUUAGAUUUAUGGAAGACGAACAUCUGCGAAAGCAUUUGCCAAGGAUGUUUNCAUUGA